Molecule: long non-coding RNA, 1223 nt
Organism: Cavia porcellus (domestic guinea pig)
Lineage: Eukaryota; Metazoa; Chordata; Mammalia; Rodentia; Caviidae
Exons: 3
Source: RefSeq, a predicted model, not a curated record
UCUCAGGCGGACUAAUAAGCAACUAAGCAACUCAUAACUAAGUUUGAACUCCGUCCAGACAUGUGGAAAGCUAGACUAUUUCACCUCCAGGAUUCAAGGCCCAAACAAGUUUCUUUGCUUUCUAUGGUGCAUAAAGGCAUUCUGUGACAACAAUUUUGAAAGCUUGUUGGCACCUUCAUUUGGAAAGCACUGCAGCAGAUCCUUAGAAAGAUGCAUACCUUUUCUGUGCCCUCUGGAAGGAGUACUGUGACAUGGAGGAAGAACCAGCAUGGAUGUAGAGAGAGUAUCUGUGGAGCGAUGCCCUUAAUGAUCCACUUCAGAAGAAGUGUAGGGAGUCAUAUCUAUGGUCUGCUUCUGAGGAAAGAGUCAAAGAGGCUUUCUUGCUGUGACUACUUCCCCAGUCACUAAGAUACAAGCAAAAGUUUCUUUUGACCUUCUUGUUCUAUGCUGCGAAGUAACAUCUAUUUUGGAGUCUUAUCAAACUUUGGGCAAUAGAAAGGAUAAGAAAAGAAAGCAAACCAAGUCUCCUUAGGAACAUGCUAAAGUAACAGUUUCAAGAUUAAUAGUACCCAAGUGGAGCAUCUUUCCUGCUUUCCUGGCUAUGUAUGAUACUCUGCUUGUUUCUGCUUUUGUUUGUUUUUACAUUUUAAAUAGUAACAAUUCUUCCUCACUGGGUGUUUCUGUGACUAAUCAGGACACAAAUAAACUGCUUAUAGCAAUGUCAGUUCCUACAUGUACAUCUGAUAGCAUUAAUUUCCUGCUUCAAAUCAUCAUGGCUACCAUUCAGCAUGGAAUAAAGUCAACCUCCUUAGUAGGAUCAGCAAGUCUUUUCAGAUGUUCAUGUAGAAUUACAAGAAGGAGUUAGCAGAGUUGAGAGCUGAGGCAGCCAUGACAGUGAAGAAGCUGUUACUGAGGUAAGAGGUGGUGGGGUCAAGGCCAGCAUGACGGCACAGGAGUUGGAGAGAAAUCCGCAGUGACUGCUGGCAGGAAGACCCCGGACUCCUUGGAGGACAGACAUGCUGGUGAUAGGCAGAUGACGAUAUGAGUGAAUGGAAGAAGAAAAGAUGUCUCAAAUUUGUUCUUUUGGCAAAUAAAUAAGGGAUGGUCGCUUAAAUUGUUGUGGGAAAUAUACAAAAAAAAGCACUUUUGGAAAGAAAAAUGAGGUCAUGAGUUUGAUCCCUGGUACCAGUAAAAAAAAAAAAAAAAAAAAAAGGAAAGAAAAA